UUAUAAACAGUGCUGCAAUAAACAUAGUAAAAUUGAACGCUGUAGAGAUCAGCAUGGCCCCUGAGCAAGGCCGACUCGCAGACUGGUGCAGUCUUCCAUAUUUUU
Small nuclear RNA from Talpa occidentalis (Iberian mole), 105 nucleotides. NCBI's taxonomy places the organism in Eukaryota, Metazoa, Chordata, Mammalia, Eulipotyphla, Talpidae. The record is from RefSeq and is a predicted model, not a curated record.